GGUUCUCCCCGAAAGCUAUUUAGGUAGCGCCUCGUGAAUUCAUCUCCGGGGGUAGAGCACUGUUUCGGCAAGGGGGUCAUCCCGACUUACCAACCCGAUGCAAACUGCGAAUACCGGAGAAUGUUAUCACGGGAGACACACGGCGGGUGCUAACGUCCGUCGUGAAGAGGGAAACAACCCAGACCGCCAGCUAAGGUCCCAAAGUCAUGGUUAAGUGGGAAACGAUGUGGGAAGGCCCAGACAGCCAGGAUGUUG
Molecule: ribosomal RNA, 255 nt
Filed under: Escherichia coli
Lineage: Bacteria; Pseudomonadati; Pseudomonadota; Gammaproteobacteria; Enterobacterales; Enterobacteriaceae
Description: partial 23S ribosomal RNA
Rfam family: Bacterial large subunit ribosomal RNA
Source: RNAcentral